Molecule: ribosomal RNA, 583 nt
Filed under: Marasmius menieri
Lineage: Eukaryota; Fungi; Basidiomycota; Agaricomycetes; Agaricales; Marasmiaceae
Description: SSU rRNA
Rfam family: Bacterial small subunit ribosomal RNA
Source: RNAcentral
CAAGAAUAUUAGUCAAUGCUCGCAAGAGUGAACUAGCUAACUGAAAUCAGAAAAUUAAUGUGUAACAAGCGUUAGUGGAUUGAUAAUGUAAGGGAAAAAAUUGAUGUUACCUUACUACAAGUGUUGUCCAAAACUGGUGCCAGAAGACUCGGUAAGGCCAGAAACACAAACGUUAGUCUUAAUGAACAGGCGUAAAGGGUUCGUAGGCAGCUUGAAAAAUUUAGAUUAAUAAGCUAAAAAAUUAAUUUAAAAUUCAGUAAAGAUAUAAUCAAAAGUAGGUUUAGACGAUAAAUGCUUAGAGUAGGAGCCACAUCCACAGAUACUAGGUGGAGUUCUAAUGGCGAAAGCUAUUUUUCCAAUAAUGAUUGAAGCUGAGGAACGAAGGUUUGAACAGAAAAUAGGAUUCGAUACCCAGAUAUCUCUUACUGUCAACUAUGAAUGGUAGUUAUUAGUAAAUUUACUAGUUUCGAUGUUAACGCGUUAACCAUUCCGCCUUGAGAGUACGGUCGCAAGACUGAAACCAAAAAAUUAGUCGGUCUCGAAGCAAACGAAGUGAAGCAUGUUAUUUAAUUCCGAUAAAUCG